RNAcentral lists this ribosomal RNA (655 nucleotides) under Aphelenchoides fujianensis. RNAcentral describes it as "partial large subunit ribosomal RNA". It matches the Rfam family "Eukaryotic large subunit ribosomal RNA", at positions 406 to 901 of the family's 3401-position model. The record is from RNAcentral. Lineage: Eukaryota; Metazoa; Nematoda; Chromadorea; Rhabditida; Aphelenchoididae.
GAUAUAAAUUGAAGCGAAUGAAGCCGACGUUUCCAGUGCGUAUUCAGCCGUUGGCGGGUGCGAUUUGCUCGCUUUGCAGUUCUGCAAAGUCUGCGGCGGGCAUUGUUGCGCUCGUUGUCGGUGCAUUUGCGCACAGAGUGCGCCGAAUCGGCUGGACUCGUUGUUUGAGGGGCGCGUAGAGGACCUCUCCUCGGAGUGGAAACCUGUGCGUUCGGAGAACAAAUGCGUCUAGCCGCCAGUGCAGGGCCGGUAUCUCGCGGCGUCGUUGUCCAGCUAUUGCCUCACGGGUGGAGCACAUGUGUUGUGCUCGUGCGGUGGUGGUUGGGCAGCGGCGUUGAUCGGCCCGCAAUUCGGUGUUCAGUCGGUCACCCCUUCGACCCGUCUUGAAACACGGACCAAGGAGUUUAAGGUGUACGCAAGUCAUUGGGUGCGGAAAGCUCAAAGGCGGAAUGAAAGUGGGACACUUAGUGUCUGUGAUGCGACCCGGCGUCGACUCGUUGGCGUCGGGGCAGCAUCGACCCAUGGCUAGAACUUGUUCUGUUGUGGAGUCCGAGCGUACGCUCUGAGACCCGAAAGAUGGUGAACUAUGCCCGAACAGGACGAAGUCAGAGGAAACUCUGAUGGAAGUCCGAAGCGGUUCUGACGUGCAAAUCGA